RNAcentral lists this ribosomal RNA (348 nucleotides) under uncultured bacterium. Its description in RNAcentral is "bacterial SSU rRNA". It matches the Rfam family "Bacterial small subunit ribosomal RNA", at positions 8 to 352 of the family's 1533-position model. The record is from RNAcentral.
AGAGUUUGAUCCUGGCUCAGAUUGAACGCUAGCGGGAUGCUUUACACAUGCAAGUCGAACGGCAGCACGAGAGAGCUUGCUCUCUUGGUGGCGAGUGGCGGACGGGUGAGUAAUAUAUCGGAACGUGCCCAGUAGCGGGGGAUAACUACUCGAAAGAGUGGCUAAUACCGCAUACGCCCUACGGGGGAAAGGGGGGGAUCGCAAGACCUCUCACUAUUGGAGCGGCCGAUAUCGGAUUAGCUAGUUGGUGGGGUAAAGGCUCACCAAGGCAACGAUCCGUAGCUGGUUUGAGAGGACGACCAGCCACACUGGGACUGAGACACGGCCCAGACUCCUACGGGAGGCAGC